RNAcentral lists this unclassified non-coding RNA (2088 nucleotides) under Helicoverpa zea (corn earworm). RNAcentral's name for it is "t-complex protein 1 subunit theta, transcript variant X1". Lineage: Eukaryota; Metazoa; Arthropoda; Insecta; Lepidoptera; Noctuidae. The record is from RNAcentral.
CGUUCAUUUUCAUUCAUGAUUCAUUCAUUGUUCAUGCCAUUGGAACCGUGAUUUCUAUCGCUUUUUUCCAGAUCACGAGGAAAUCAAGAUAAUUUGUUUGAGUUGAAAGUGCUUCAAUUUCCAAGAAAAAAUGGCUUUACACGUACCGAAAGCGCCGGGUGUACCCCAAAUGUUAAAGGAAGGAGCACGGAUGUUCUCUGGUCUAGAGGAAGCAGUUUACCGUAACAUUAACGCAUGUAAACAAUUUGCCCAAAGUGUGCGUUCAGCAUAUGGACCCAAUGGAAUGAACAAAAUGAUUAUCAACCACAUUGAUAAACAGUUUGUUACGAGUGAUGCUGGUACCAUUAUCAGAGAGCUUGAUGUUGAACAUCCUGCUGCUAAAUUGAUGGUACUGGCCAGUCAGAUGCAAGAUUCUGAAGUGGGAGAUGGCACCAACUUCGUGAUUGUCUUCUCUGGUGCUUUAUUGGAAGCAGCUGAGGAAUUACUGCGCCUGGGUGUAACACCCACUGAAAUUGCCGAUGGCUAUGAGAAAGCCCUAGAGAAAUGUUUAGAAAUCCUGCCAGGACUAGUUUGUGAAGAAAUUAAAGAUUGCAAAAAUGUUCAAGCUGUUGUGAAGGGAAUAACUCCCUCAAUUAUGUCUAAGCAGUAUGGAUAUGAAGAUUUUAUUGCUGAACUGGUGGCCAAGGCUUGUGUUGCUAUUCUUCCUGAAAAAACCACAUUCAAUGUUGAUAAUGUGAGAAUAUGCAAGAUCCUAGGAUCAGGUCUUCUACAGUCUGAAGUUCUCUCUGGAAUGGUGUUCAAGCGAGAGGUUGAAGGAGAUGUUCCUUCUGCAACAAAAGCUAAAGUUGCUGUGUACUCAUGCCCGGUGGAUAUCACUCAGACUGAAACAAAAGGAACCGUUUUGAUCAAAUCAGCUGAUGAACUUCUUAACUUCAGUAGGGGAGAAGAGUCUCAACUGGAGAAACAAAUUAAAGAGAUUGCAGAUUCUGGAGUCAAAGUAGUAGUUGCUGGUGCUAAGUUUGGUGACAUGGCUUUGCAUUUCUUGAACAAGUAUGGCAUAAUGGCCGUUCGUCUCAACUCUAAAUUCGACAUCCGACGCCUUGCCAGGACUGUAAAUGCUACUGUGCUGCCAAGACUUACAACACCGACUGCUGAAGAGCUUGGAUACUGUGACUCCGUUGGUGUGGAGGAGCUGGGAGACACACGUGUUGUUUGCUUCCGCAUGGACAGCACUGAGUCACGCAUCUCCACAGUUGUCAUCCGAGGCUCUACAGACAAUUACAUGGAUGACAUUGAAAGAGCCAUUGAUGAUGGUGUGAAUACCUUCAAGGGAAUUGCCAGGGAUGGAAAAUUUUUGCCUGGUGCUGGUGCAACAGAAAUUGAAUUGGCUCAGCAACUCCUUCAGUAUGCAGACACACUGCCAGGCUUAGAACAAUAUGCUGUAAGGAAGUUUGCCGUUGCUUUGGAAAGCAUCCCACGUGCCUUAGCUGACAAUUCUGGUGCCAAUGCCACAGAAGUUGUCAACAACAUUUACAAAGCUCACAAGGAGGGCAACAAAAAUGCAGGUUACGACAUUGAAUCCGAAAACAAUGGUGUAUGUGACGCUAAAGAGAAAAACAUAUUGGAUUUAUAUGUCUUAAAGUACUGGGGCCUCAAAUACGCCGUUGGCGCAGCUGCAACAAUUCUCAAGGUGGACCAAAUUAUUAUGGCAAAGAGAGCAGGCGGGCCCAAACCUAAAGCACCGGCGGGAAGUGAUGACGAAUCUUAAAAUUACAUUUACUAUUAAAGUCGCAAAGUAUUUUAGUUAAGUUUUUAAAAUAACAUAAUGUCACCUUGCAUUUAAUUUGAAAUAUAAUAUAAUUUGCUUUGUAUAACCUACAAAAAAGGCAACAAUUCGGUUCUAUUGCAUAUUUAUUUGUUUGUUAUCAAGUUUUGUUCGCAAAACUCUGUGUAGUAAUUAAAUUUUUUAAAAACCACAUUGUGUAGUAAAGAAAUAAAUAAGAUUGCCUUUACGACAGUAAAAUUGCUACAAAAUGUUAUCUAUCUUUUAUCACAAAUAAAUAAUUACAGAAUAAAAAAAUUAACACA